This 207-nucleotide long non-coding RNA is filed under the name Pan troglodytes (chimpanzee). RNAcentral describes it as "long non-coding RNA NONPTRT014360". The record is from RNAcentral. Lineage: Eukaryota; Metazoa; Chordata; Mammalia; Primates; Hominidae.
AUCAUCUACAUGCCUGCCCACUCUCCCAAGGUCAAGGCCGCGGAUUCAUUUCUUGCGCUUAUGCUCAGCCUGGAAACAGCAAUGCCACCACCUUCAGUGUAUUUACUGUGUGCCAAGCCCCCACAGUCACAAUCCUUAACACUCCCGCUAGCCUGGCAAGGCCAAUGUCAUAACCCCUACCACACAGAGGAUGGCACGGAGGCCCAG